RNAcentral lists this non-coding RNA (29 nucleotides) under Mus musculus (house mouse). Lineage: Eukaryota; Metazoa; Chordata; Mammalia; Rodentia; Muridae. The record is from RNAcentral.
CAAGACAGUCAGGUUGGCAAAACAGUAAA